AGCUCUGUGCAGUAGCAGUAUCGUAGCCAGUGAGGUUUAUGUGAGGCACAAUUACUGCCAACUGAAACUACGAAUGGAGUAUUAAAAUUCAGAAUUCUGGGGUCGGGGAAACCUUGAAUUUGAUUUACUUUUCCCACUUCA
Molecule: small nuclear RNA, 141 nt
Filed under: Rhinopithecus roxellana (golden snub-nosed monkey)
Lineage: Eukaryota; Metazoa; Chordata; Mammalia; Primates; Cercopithecidae
Description: U4 spliceosomal RNA (ENSRROG00000001595.1)
Source: RNAcentral